GGGUGCGGACACACGUAGUGACACUGCUUAUCUGGGGGGAUACGCCUUUCGAAAGGAAGAUUAAUACCCCAUAACUAUGUUGGAUGGCAUCAUUCGACAUUGAAGAGACUCCGUGUGGAUACGACGNUCGGGCCAACUGCGCAAGAUUAGAUACGGUUGGUGAGUGUACACUGUGGCUCCACAAUGUCUACGAUCUUUAGUCGGUGGCCCUGAGAGGGGUGAUCCCCCAACUGGUACUUGAAGAACACGGGACCAAGACUACCUAACGUGGAGNNGCACAGCACGUGAGUGAACUCAUUUGGGACACNUGGGUGUGAGCAGCACACUUGAAUACACACGGUACAUNNACCCAUGGCUGGUUGAAAGUGGAACAUGAACNUUUAGGCCCACCCUUAACUUNAGGAGGGUUUUAGGUGCAAACAAACAUUCUACAUAUAUCGUUAGGUAACUUCAGAGUGGGNAAUUAAACACACGACCUUUAAAAGCACCCUUACCCGGUAGAGAAAGUAGUGAGGUUAAAGAGCUUUAGAAACAGUAGGAUAACNUUUACAAUUACAGACCCUGUACUAAUUUCAAAANUGACGAAGACCCACGUGGGGA
This 600-nucleotide ribosomal RNA is filed under the name uncultured bacterium. Its description in RNAcentral is "partial 16S ribosomal RNA". The record is from RNAcentral.